This 71-nucleotide transfer RNA is filed under the name Bacteroidales bacterium. Its description in RNAcentral is "tRNA-Gln". It matches the Rfam family "tRNA". From Rfam's summary of the family: Transfer RNA (tRNA) molecules are approximately 80 nucleotides in length. Their secondary structure includes four short double-helical elements and three loops (D, anti-codon, and T loops). The record is from RNAcentral. Lineage: Bacteria; Pseudomonadati; Bacteroidota; Bacteroidia; Bacteroidales.
UGUCCCAUGGUGUAACGGUAGCACUCCUGAUUUUGGUUCAGUCAGUCUAGGUUCGAAUCCUGGUGGGACAA